UUUCGGGAUGGCGAUGGAGUUCGCCACUAAGUCUGUAAGGCUGAUAACUCCUACCACUUU
Molecule: non-coding RNA, 60 nt
Filed under: Peptococcaceae bacterium SCADC1_2_3
Lineage: Bacteria; Bacillati; Bacillota; Clostridia; Eubacteriales; Peptococcaceae
Also listed under: 1 other name
Description: Fluoride riboswitch aptamer (crcB RNA motif)
Rfam family: Fluoride riboswitch aptamer (crcB RNA motif)
Source: Rfam by way of RNAcentral